This 195-nucleotide ribosomal RNA is filed under the name uncultured bacterium. RNAcentral's name for it is "partial 16S ribosomal RNA". It matches the Rfam family "Bacterial small subunit ribosomal RNA", at positions 338 to 524 of the family's 1533-position model. The record is from RNAcentral.
CCUACGGGAGGCAGCAGUGGGGAAUAUUGCGCAAUGGGGGAAACCCUGACGCAGCGACGCCGCGUGAGCGAAGAAGGCCUUAGGGUCGUAAAGCUCUGUUUUAAGGGACGAAUGUCGCGGGUAAUAAUACGAUCUGCGAAUGACGGUACCUUAAGAGGAAGCCCCGGCUAACUACGUGCCAGCAGCCGCGGUAAU